RNAcentral lists this ribosomal RNA (253 nucleotides) under uncultured bacterium. RNAcentral describes it as "partial 16S ribosomal RNA". It matches the Rfam family "Bacterial small subunit ribosomal RNA", at positions 524 to 776 of the family's 1533-position model. The record is from RNAcentral.
UACGUAGGCAGCGAGCGUUGUUCGGAAUUACUGGGCGUAAAGGGCGCGUAGGCGGCCAUCUAAGUCAGACGUGAAAUCCCCCGGCUUAACCUGGGAACUGCGUCUGAUACUGGGAGGCUAGAGUUUGGGAGAGGGAUGUAGAAUUCCAGGUGUAGCGGUGAAAUGCGUAGAUAUCUGGAGGAAUACCGGUGGCGAAGGCGGCAUCCUGGACCAAUACUGACGCUGAGGCGCGAAAGCUAGGGGAGCAAACGGG